This 1324-nucleotide long non-coding RNA is filed under the name Manacus vitellinus (golden-collared manakin). RNAcentral's name for it is "lncRNA (ENSMVIG00005001795.1)". The record is from RNAcentral. Lineage: Eukaryota; Metazoa; Chordata; Aves; Passeriformes; Pipridae.
CCCCAAACCCAACAGAGUUGACCCCAAACCCAACGAGGUUGACCCCAAACCCAACAGGGACUGACCCCAAACCCAACAGUUGACCCCAAACCCAACAGGGCUGACCCCAAACCCAAUGGGGUGACCCCAAACCCACCGGGGCCUGACCCCAAGCCCCCCAGGCCCCCCGACCCACCUGCACGGUGUACUUGCAGACCCCCAGGGUGUUCCAGAGCUUGAUGGUCUUGUCCCGGGAGCCGGACACGAUCUGCCGGUUGUCGGAGGAGAAGGCCACGCUCAGCACGUCCUUGGUGUGCCCCACGAAGCGCCGCGUCGUCGUCCCCCUGCAACGGGACCAGGGUCGGGAGCCAGCCAGGAGGGGUCAGAGCCCACUGGGAAGGGUCAGGAGCCAUCCAGGGAGGGUCAGGAGCCAUCCAGGGAGGGUCAGGAGCCAUCCAGGAAGGGUCAGAUCCCACCAUGAAGGAUCAGGAUCCCACUGGGAAUGGUCAGGAACCAUCCAGAAAGGGUUGGGAUCCCAUUGGGAAGGGUCAGGAGACAUCCAGGACGGGUCAGGAUCCCACCAAGAAGGGUCAAGAUCCAUCCAGGAAUGGUCAGAUCCCACCAGGAAGGGUUGGGAUCCCAUUGGGAAGGGCCAGGAGCCAUCCAGGAAUGGCCAGAUCCCAACAGGAAGGGUUGGGAUCCCAUCAGGAAGGGUCAGGAGCCAUCCAGGAAGGGUCAGGAUCCCACUGGGAAGGGUCAGGAGCCAUCCAGGAAGGGUCAGGAGACAUCCAGGAAUGGUCAGAUCCCACCAGGAAGGGUUGGGAUCCCAUUGGGAAGGGUCAGGAGACAUCCAGGAAGGGUCAAGAUCCAUUCUGGGAGGGUCAGAUCCCACCAGGAAGGGUCAGGAUCCCACUGGGAAGGGUCAGGAGCCAUCCAGGGAGGGUCAGAUGCCACCAAGAAGGGUCAAGAUCCAUUCUGGGAGGGUCAGAUCCCAUUGGGAAGGGUCAGGAUCCCACUGGGAAGGGUCAGGAGCCAUCCAGGAAUGGGGGACAUGGAUCAGGAUCCCACCAGGAAUGGGGGACACAGGUCAGGAUCCCACCAGGAAUUGUGAGGAUCCCCCAGAAAUAAGAGGGGAAAAGGGUCAGGAUCCCCCCAGCACAUUGAGAGGAAAUCCAGGGCUUGGAGGGGGAAAAAUCCAAGGAUUUUAGAGAAAAAUCCAGAACCUAGAAGGGGGAAAUCCAGGGAUUGGGAUGGAAAAGAGGACCUGGAGUGGUCUGUGAGGGGGUUUGGGGGAUCAGGACGAGUUUGGCUCCACAAAUCCCAACCCUCUUCCAGCUGCACCCCC